RNAcentral lists this unclassified non-coding RNA (243 nucleotides) under plant metagenome. RNAcentral's name for it is "partial contains small subunit ribosomal RNA, internal transcribed spacer 1, and 5.8S ribosomal RNA". The record is from RNAcentral.
UUUCCGUAGGUGAACCUGCGGAAGGAUCAUUACCAAAACUUAGCUGUCUGGCCGCAAGGCUCUGACGCUUCAACCCUUUGUGAACCAAAAAACCUUACGCUUCGGCAGCCGCGCCGGUUGGGAACAGCCUGCGCUUCAGCCUGCCGUUAGCACCAAACAUCAAAACUUGCAGUCAAAAACAUUGUCUGAUACCAAAUUUUCGAAUGAAAAUCAAAACUUUCAACAACGGAUCUCUUGGUUCCC